RNAcentral lists this ribosomal RNA (429 nucleotides) under Actinomycetes bacterium. Its description in RNAcentral is "Actinobacteria bacterium partial 16S ribosomal RNA". It matches the Rfam family "Bacterial small subunit ribosomal RNA", at positions 355 to 776 of the family's 1533-position model. Lineage: Bacteria; Bacillati; Actinomycetota; Actinomycetes. The record is from RNAcentral.
UAGGGAAUCUUCCGCAAUGGGCGAAAGCCUGACGGAGCAACGCCGCGCGAGUGAUGAAGGUCUUCGGAUCGUAAAACUCUGUUAUUAGGGAAGAACAAAUGUGUAAGUAACUAUGCACGUCUUGACGGUACCUAAUCAGAAAGCCACGGCUAACUACGUGCCAGCAGCCGCGGUAAUACGUAGGUGGCAAGCGUUAUCCGGAAUUAUUGGGCGUAAAGCGCGCGUAGGCGGUUUUUUAAGUCUGAUGUGACAGCCCACGGCUCAACCGUGGAGGGUCAUUGGAAACUGGAGAACUUGAGUGCAGAAGAGGAAAGUGGAAUUCCAUGUGUAGCGGUGAAAUGCGCAGAGAUAUGGAGGAACACCAGUGGCGAAGGCGACUUUCUGGUCUGUAUCUGACGCUGAUGUGCGAAAGCGUGGGGAUCAAACAGG